This 2216-nucleotide long non-coding RNA is filed under the name Panax ginseng (ginseng). RNAcentral describes it as "long non-coding RNA (PGIN_LNC005551)". The record is from RNAcentral. Lineage: Eukaryota; Viridiplantae; Streptophyta; Magnoliopsida; Apiales; Araliaceae.
UUCGAACUUAAUUUACAUACAUCAAAGUUACUUCCCCAGGUGCGUGACCUUCAAAUACAUUCCUUACAAUACUUGAAUAGAUACCAAUACAACUAUAACCAUUAACUCAUAAUACACACUUAUUCGAUCAGCUUUCCUUUUUCCUUUGUUCGUGCCUGAGCCUUCAGGUUGCUCAUACAUAACUGAAAACAUUUAAUUUAAGCAAGGAUGAGCAUUUAAGUGCCCAGCAAGUAAUAACAAUUAUAUAUAAGCUGAAAGAAUAUAAGUAUUCUCUUUACAUAACACUUCUACAACGAAUUGAAAGUUGUGAAGUAAUCUGUACUGAUAAAAAAUUCACAUAACAACUCUCUUUCAAAUUCUUUAAAUUUGGCUCUGGCUCUACCCUUGAAUAGGGUUUAAGAAACAUACUAUGAACAUUCUUUUCAUUUUCGAAAAGGUUUAGCGGAAUUCUAUCCUCAAACCGUCAUAACUUACGGGCACGGAGGGUGAUCAGCCCCGUUGUACCCUGUAUUGAUCAAUACUACAUAACUUGAACGAAAUUCAUCGCUCACUCUAUCCGCCUUGCGCAAAAAUCUUCCCAUAUAGGGAUGUUCAUACAUGCCUGGUUCCAAACCCGAAGGUUUUUAAUCUUGCUCAACAAUAAUAUGUAAUUCAACAUAUAUAUACGGGUAAUUGACAAAGGUGUAUCAACAUGUGAACAAAUGCCAUGAUUAUCCAAGUGGGGACACUUGUAUAACCAUUUAUAGAAAUCAAUGAACAGAAUAUAUAUCUGAGCUAACAUGUCGAUAAUCAAAGAGUACAUAAUCUGUACAGGGAUAGAAUAAUUCUGAAACUUCUUACUCAUGUCCAUUGCAUAAAGGAAGUGCAAAGGUAGGAUACUUGCCUGAUUCGCUGAUUACAAAUCUCAACUUAGGUUUUAUCUCUUUAUCACAACCUAUCAAUAAUCAGAUCAUUCGUUCGAUUAGAACAAUAUAUCUUAACACAUAGUACUGUCUAUUACAGUCAGCACAUAGUCUAAUCACAUAAUCACAGUGAUCAUACUUUUAGUUCCUAUUCUAUACUUGAAAUAUUUUUAUACAUUUUUCAAAUAUCUCAUCCAUGCUCUUACAGUAGUCUUUUCUUUCUUUUAUAAGGUCUGACAUUUGUCGGCGUACCGACAGCUUUAUCGGGUAAAUACUGAGUCUAAGACUCUUAUUCUAUACCUCAACAUCUGUAAAUAUCAGACAUCUUAUUUUUAAUCAUUUUCGCAAUUUCCAGAAAUUGAAAAAUUUAAAAUAAUUCAAAUCUGUCACUAAAGGGCCUAUAGUGAUAUAACUGUUACUAUAGGUGUUCUUCUUCAAAUUCAGAACUUCAUAAUCGGUUCUCAAGUCAGCUAGUUUGGCCGGCUAUAACUUUCAAAUAUCGGAAUCAUAAUUAAAUGAUUUAAACAUUAAACAAUUCCAUUAUCAUUAAUAGUUUAAUUAAUACUAAACUAUUAAUGAAACCAUUGCCAAAAUAUAAAAGUUAUUUAUAAUAACUCAAACUAUUUUUAAAACAUUUAUAUUACCCAAAUAAUUACCAUUAAUAUUUAAAUAUUAAUGUACUAUUUAUCCAAAUAUUAAAAGUCAUUAAUUAUAACUUAAAAUAUUUUUAAAUCCUUAAUAUCCUCUUUAAAUGGUUUUUAAAUAAGUAAAACCAUUUUUAAACUAUUUAUUUAAUAUUAAUCAUUAAAUAAACUAAAUAUCAUUAAUAUUAUCUUAAUAUCAUUAAUAUUUAAUUAUUAAUGAAAUUAUCAUUUAAAUAUUAAAAGUUAUAUUUUAUAACUUAAAAUAUUUUUAAAUACCUUAUUUUCAUUUAAAAUGAUUUUUAUAAUAUUAAAAUCAUUUUUAAACUAAAUUAUUUAAUAUAAUCAUUAAAUAACUUUAAUAUCAUUAAUAAUUAUUAAUUAAUGAAAUUCAUCACAAAAUAUUAAAAGUCAUCACAAAUAACUCAUUUACAUAAUCAAUUCCAAGCCAAAAUAAACAUAGUAAACUAACUAGUUUAUUAACAACACUAACUAAACUUCAAAAAUUCAAACUUUAACUAACAAUUAAAAAUAAUAACAUUACAAAAAUUAAAUAAGAAACAUACCCGGAAAUACGAAUUCCACAGACUGAAUACGCACUUCCACGCCAAAAUUUAACUAAGGAGAUCUUUAUAAAAAGUUCUCCCACAACAAAGCCUUUCUCAAAAAUUGG